CACGCAGGCGGUCUGUCAAGUCGGAUGUGAAAUCCCCGGGCUCAACCUGGGAACUGCAUUCGAAACUGGCAGGCUUGAGUCUUGUAGAGGGGGGUAGAAUUCCAGGUGUAGCGGUGAAAUGCGUAGAGAUCUGGAGGAAUACCGGUGGCGAAGGCGGCCCCCUGGACAAAGACUGACGCUCAGGUGCGAAAGCGUGGGGAGCAAACAGGAUUAGAUACCCUGGUAGUCCACGCCGUAAACGAUGUCUACUUGGAGGUUGUGCCCUUGAGGCGUGGCUUCCGGAGCUAACGCGUUAAGUAGACCGCCUGGGGAGUACGGCCGCAAGGUUAAAACUCAAAUGAAUUGACGGGGGCCCGCACAAGCGGUGGAGCAUGUGGUUUAAUUCGAUGCAACGCGAAGAACCUUACCUGGUCUUGACAUCCACGGAAGAAUUCAGAGAUGGAUUUGUGCCUUCGGGAACCGUGAGACAGGUGCUGCAUGGCUGUCGUCAGCUCGUGUUGUGAAAUGUUGGGUUAAGUCCCGCAACGAGCGCAACCCUUAUCCUUUGUUGCCAGCGGUCCGG
Molecule: ribosomal RNA, 562 nt
Filed under: Salmonella enterica
Lineage: Bacteria; Pseudomonadati; Pseudomonadota; Gammaproteobacteria; Enterobacterales; Enterobacteriaceae
Also listed under: 1 other name
Description: bacterial SSU rRNA
Rfam family: Bacterial small subunit ribosomal RNA
Source: RNAcentral